This is a long non-coding RNA of Cyprinus carpio carpio, 862 nucleotides long. NCBI's taxonomy places the organism in Eukaryota, Metazoa, Chordata, Actinopteri, Cypriniformes, Cyprinidae. The record is from Ensembl.
GGAUUUUACCCUCGUCACAUCAACCUGACUCUGUUCAGAGAUGGGCAGCCUGUAUCUGAUCAUGAGAUCACUGGAGGAGAUCUGCUGCCCAAUGCUGACGGGACGUACCAGAUGAGGAAGAGUCUGGAGAUCAGUGCUGCAGACAAACACAAAUACACCUGCUCUGUCACACACCUCAGUCUGGACGACAAACUGGACAUUGAUUUGGAGUAUCCAGGGGAAACAUUUGAGGUGGUGGUUUUGGCAUUGGGAUUGGUGUUUUUGACUGUGGUUGCCAUUUUUAUAUCGAGGAGAAGGUAUCGUUCAGUUUCCUCUUCAAGUAACUACUCUUCUGCUUCUACAAGUGAAGAUGGCAUGAAUAAAACCUAAUUUGGUUUCUUGCAAAAACGUAUCAGGGAAUUGGUCUUUGUGAACUGCGGGACAACAACAAACCUGGACAAAUUAUUGCCAAGACUGUUUUUGAUGGCUCCACAACAGAAGAAGUGGGAUAUUUUGGUGGCAAGUAAAGGUCCUUUAAAAUACUCAGAUGAGAACACAAAUCCUUAUCUCCAGCUGUUUAUGUGGUAUCAUGAGAUGUUAUGCUUUCCAAACUGUAUAAAAACUCUCAAGACUUUGACAACAAACUGGACUGUCACUUUGGGUAAUGAGCUCUUACAAUUACAGAAAGGAUCUCAUAAAGUUUUAAUGAUCUUAAUCAAAAUUCUUCCUUUUUUAGAAGAUGCACUUUCCAGUUAUCACACAGGUGUUCUGCUAUCUGGUGCUGCUGUCCUGCUGUUGUUAUGUGUGAUUUUGUCAAUAGCAAUAGCCAUUUGCAUGACAAGUCAAGCAGAAAGACAGAGAGGUAGGCCUAAUUUAAUGUUCU